RNAcentral lists this transfer RNA (82 nucleotides) under Rhipicephalus sanguineus (brown dog tick). RNAcentral describes it as "transfer RNA leucine (anticodon AAG)". It matches the Rfam family "tRNA". Rfam says of the family: Transfer RNA (tRNA) molecules are approximately 80 nucleotides in length. Their secondary structure includes four short double-helical elements and three loops (D, anti-codon, and T loops). Further hydrogen bonds mediate the characteristic L-shaped molecular structure. tRNAs have two regions of fundamental functional importance: the anti-codon, which is responsible for specific mRNA codon recognition, and the 3' end, to which the tRNAs corresponding amino acid is attached (by aminoacyl-tRNA synthetases). tRNAs cope with the degeneracy of the genetic code in two manners: having more than one tRNA (with a specific anti-codon) for a particular amino acid; and 'wobble' base-pairing, i.e. permitting non-standard base-pairing at the 3rd anti-codon position. The record is from Rfam by way of RNAcentral. Lineage: Eukaryota; Metazoa; Arthropoda; Arachnida; Ixodida; Ixodidae.
GGUAGCGUGGCCGAGCGGUCUAAGGCGCUGGUUUAAGGCACCAGUCUCUCCGCAGGCGUGGGUUCGAAUCCCACCGCUGCCA